CUGGAGCUUCCUCGGGCCCCUCCUCUUCCUCUUGCCUCCCACCAUGUCGUCCAGGUUGCGGACAUCAGGAAGGGCCUCCCUGCAGGUGACACAGCAUUCCCAGACAGACACAUGGACACAAGGACAACCACCUGGAUCCCCCUCAGCCAGGUGACACCGCUCACCUGCCUCCUCAGAGAAGCUCAGUGCCCGGAUUGGAGCCACGCUGGCACUCGGAUGCUCCCACACCAGGACCAGAUCCCGGAGCUCUGCCAGGGCACAGCGACAAGUGACAGUGAGAGAUCCACACUGUGGGACACAAGGCAGAGCUGCUGGAGACAAACUGCACGUGGCAGGUAAAAAUAAACAACUAAAAAUGGCCAAUC
Pseudopipra pipra is the source of this 365-nucleotide long non-coding RNA. RefSeq lists it as uncharacterized. The transcript is spliced from 3 exons. Lineage: Eukaryota; Metazoa; Chordata; Aves; Passeriformes; Pipridae. The record is from RefSeq and is a predicted model, not a curated record.